Solea senegalensis (Senegalese sole) is the source of this 1696-nucleotide long non-coding RNA. RefSeq lists it as uncharacterized. The transcript is spliced from 2 exons. The record is from RefSeq and is a predicted model, not a curated record. NCBI's taxonomy places the organism in Eukaryota, Metazoa, Chordata, Actinopteri, Pleuronectiformes, Soleidae.
AAUUUGGGCAGGGAUGCAAAUUCCUGCGUGAUUUAAAAAAAAACAAAACACAGGCAAUACACAGACAGAGAAACACAGAGAGCAGGAACAGGGACCAGAACACAGGAUAAACCAAAAGAGACACUGGUCAGCACAGAGACUAUACCCGAGGGAUAACUGAACGCAGGUGAAUCACAGAGGAGGGAAAACAGGACAAGGAAGAACUCCGGUGUCUGUAGGUCUUUGAUAAUCAAGAACUCUCAGAUAUAUCGUGAAACAUUGUGAAACUGUAGUGUACAGUCAUGGAAGAGGAGCACACGUAACACUGAAAUGACAGUUGUGUUAUUUCAAGUGUCUGACUGAAUGUCAAAUUGUGCGGGGUAUUUUCCCAGCACUGUCACUUGUGUUGCUCUUGAAUAGACUGGAUUAUCGGAAAGAAUCCUGUCCACGGGGGGAUUACAUUUGCACACCGGUGGCACCAUUGGUACAACAAGAGAGGUUGAAACCGUGAGAAGGGAAAGAAGUGAAGAAGGCCGUCGUCUGUGUCACAGUUGACACAGACGAGUGGUGCACUUCACAACUUGAAUGGGCGCCAUUAAAGAUGAUAGCAUCUGUGGGCAUGAGGCUUUCAGAGGCUUCCAGAUGCUGCAAAAUGACUUAUGGCGGACUCACACAUGCGUGGUGGAGGCUUCAGCUGAAACUCUCCUCACUCACUUUGAUUGGAGCGGCAUCAAGUGUUGCUGAACUGCAUUAUGGGCACAUUCCUAACGGCAGCCGUCAAUGUGAGCAUCGGCGGAUCAACUCGAGGGAGAGCGUGCGAUGACGGACAAAAGAGAGUGCCAGGAAAACAAGAAGAGUCUAUAUGGGCAUUUAAAAUGAAUUACAUCCAUGCAUAAAGUCGCGGUGGACAUGCGGAAGUAUUCAAAGUGCCACUAGUGCUCAAUAGCCCUCAUUAGCAAGAGUAACAGUCUUUAUUUAAAACAAUAAGCACAAGACAGGCAGACAGGAACGAGGAUCCUCAAAUGAGCGUGGAAUCAACGUGGAAGUGGACACUGAUGGGAACAGGUUUGAUCCACAAACAGGAUGAAUUUACAAGCUGUUUGCCAAGUGCCAAAUAAAAAAAAAGGAGGAGGAAGAAGAAAAAGACGACAAUUAUAUCGCAAAGUUAAUCAUUUUUAAUAAUUUGUGGGCAUUUUUGAGGAAUAUCCAGUGCUCAGCCGCUCUUCCUGUUGGACUCGGCUCUUCAGAUCCUGCCUCAGGCAUUUGUUGACCCAAGUUCAUGCUCAGAGGAGGAGAAAGAAGACUCUCCUUGUCCAAAGCCGAUUUGGACAAUUGCUUGGAAGAGUCAAUAUUAUUCGCCACAGGGGCUGAGCAUUAACUCAAUAACAAUAUGUACCGCAAUGUCAUUCUUUUUUCCCGUAAAAAUGUAAAAUAAAUUCAACAUCCACGUGUAAACCCAUUUGACCACAUAUUUCAAUAUGUUUAAUCUUUCUCUCAUUUCAUGCUGUUAUUGAUUGAUUGACUAUUUUUAAUUGAGAUGAUGUUUUGACUAUAUCACCCAGCCCUAAUGUACAUUAUAAAAAGUUAAAUUAUGACAAUGCUUUACACAUCUUGAAGGUCAAGUGUGUAACAAUUGUAAUGACAAAAUGAUGGUGGUUUGUCUAUUUGAGCUGUAGAAACAUAAUGGAUUGUACAAAUAUAAGUGAUUUAAUAGCUU